RNAcentral lists this long non-coding RNA (794 nucleotides) under Gallus gallus (chicken). The record is from RNAcentral. Lineage: Eukaryota; Metazoa; Chordata; Aves; Galliformes; Phasianidae.
CGGGCUCCUGUCAGGGGCUGCCUGGGAAGGCGGUGUGGUGGUUGGGGGUGAGAUGGGUUUUGAAGUGGUGCGAUUUGAAGCUAGGAGCUCUCAAGGGGACUCAGCAGAAUCUCUCAGAGAAAAUUCUGUAUGUAUUUUCUAAUAGAAUGUCUUAAAACCUGCCUGGCUAUCCAGGAGUACCCAGCUGUGAUGUGCCUGGAAGGGGACUGUGGUGUUCAAGCCCUGUGGUGUUCACAUUAUUCCCCUGUCCUCCUGCCCAGCGCUCAGUGCAGGCCCUUGCAGGGGGCUGUUAGAGCAUAAAACUGAGGAAAAAAACCUUAAAGAAAUGUGUUUCAAUUGCUUAUACAAGCUUCCAUUGCGACCUUGCCACAGAAAGGUCAGGUAUCAUUCUAAAUUUCAUGGAAUAGCCAACAAAGAGGCAGGCAAUGUAGAUUUUCCUUACAUUGGUUACAAACAUGAUUGUUGGAAAAGAAAUUCACAGUGUCUUACAUAUAUGACACAGACAUAGACAUAGAAUGGCCUGGGUUGAAAAGGACCACAGUGCUCAUCCAGUUCCAACCCCCUGCUAUGUGCAGGGUCGCCAACCAGCAGACCAGGCUGCCCAGAGCCACAUCCAGCCUGGCCUUGAAUGCCUCCAGGGAUGGGGCAUCCACAGCCUCCUUGGGCAAGCUGUUCCAGUGAAUGUAUGUACGCACACGUAUAUAAAAUGUAUGUCGUUCCAAACAGUGGCAAAAGUGAAGCAAUUCAGCCACCCAGACAGGAUGCAGAGAUGCCCAUAGCACUGAAUUCUAAAC